This is a non-coding RNA of Phascolarctos cinereus (koala), 1328 nucleotides long. The record is from RefSeq and is a predicted model, not a curated record. NCBI's taxonomy places the organism in Eukaryota, Metazoa, Chordata, Mammalia, Diprotodontia, Phascolarctidae.
CUUCAUAAAAUUUCUAGCUGCCUUCAAAGUACAACGGAAAGGCCAUCUUCUACAUGAGAUCUUUCCUGAGUUCUUCUAAUUGUUAGUAUUUUUCCUUUUAAAAAAAGGUUUACUGAUACCCUUAAAAAAAUUGCCAUCAAUUUUCAUCAAUUCCCACUCUACUUUACAAAAAAUAAGUAUAAGCAAGCAAAAUGAAUCGACACAAUGGUUAUGUCUGGCGAUGUACGUCUCAUUCAUUCUGCAUUUCAAGUGACUUUGUCAGGGUUUGUAGUAUGGGGUUUAUUUUUUGAAGUAAGAGGGCAUGGAGGUGGGGAGAGAACUGAGAAGAGCCAAUGAAUUACUGGCCAAACAACGCUCCUAUUAUUGUUUCUGGUGCUUUCUUCUCAUUUCUGAGGGUGCUGUGAGCAUUACUCUUGGCCUGUGUGAAGGCCUGGAGUUCUCCCAAUUUAGAAGGGGCAAUAUAAACGUGAAACAGAGGCCUAAGAGAGGCAGGCCUGACGUCCUGCUCUGCAGGAUUCCAUCCAGUCCUUUGUUAAGGAAAGGUCAUCCUCUUUGUCUUUUUGUAAGGCCACAGCAGAUAUGUUUGAGCAAGUGGCGUAGCUGGGUGCCCAUGUAGGAGGUAGGCGUGUUGGGACAGGUCUGGCGCGUCACACACAUUGUUCUUGAGACUUUGACAGGGAGGCUGUUCCCCAAUCCAGGCUUCUGUGUCCUGAAUGCAUUCCUUCUUUGAGUGAAUUCUUCUAUAACAAGCAAUAAUAACAAGACUGAGUCUUAAGUUUGAAAGGGCAUGGUGUUUUCACAUAAGAUCAUCUCCUUUGAUCCUCACAACAACCCUGGGAGGUAGGUCUGGCUUGCCUGGCAUAGUUAACUCUAUUUUCCAGGUGAGGAAACAGGACCUUGCCUCAAGGUCACACAGGAGGUGUCCAGGCUGUAUUCUUUGACUUUAAGGAGAAAGCUCUUUUCACUACCAGAUACCACCAGAGGAUGCCUUAUCACAGAUCUGGAACUACAAGAGACUUUGAAAGCCCAUCAAGUCCACCAUCCAGAUCGAACAGGGGAGGAAACUGAGGCCCAGCAAACCACAAAGAAGGAAGACAUUUGCAUGCGAGCCAGGACAGCCUUGUCCAUGGAUUGAAGGAUCUAUCUUCCACCUGUCAAGGAAAUGCUCUCCUUGCCGAGAUCACAGCUAAUCCUGGAAACCUAGGUAACCAUUGUAGCCAGGAGUGUUUUCUUCCAUUUAUGAGAGUGAGUCAGACAUACACACCUUCCACUAAGCCAGGCUUCUUUCCGUAAGCUGCAUCUUGAUCUGUCAAGCAUCAGAAGCCAAA